Molecule: ribosomal RNA, 509 nt
Filed under: uncultured bacterium
Lineage: Bacteria
Description: bacterial SSU rRNA
Rfam family: Bacterial small subunit ribosomal RNA
Source: RNAcentral
AAUGAACGUUGGCGGCGUGGAUUAGGCAUGCAAGUCGCGCGACAAGCUCCCUUCGGGGAGUGGAGGAGCGGCAAACGGGGUAGUAAGGCGUCGGAACAUACCCUCCAGUCUGGAAUAGCCGCGGGAAACUGCGGGUAAUGCCGGAUAAUCUCUAGCGAGCAAAGGUCCGCCGCUGGAGGAGUGGCCGACGUGGUACCAGGUAGUUGGUGAGGUAAUGGCUCACCAAGCCGAAACGACCCAGGGGUGGUGAGAGCACGACCCCCACUCACUGGGACUGAGACACUGCCCAGACACCUACGGGUGGCUGCAGUCGAGAAUCUUCGGCAAUGGGCGCAAGCCUGACCGAGCGACGCCGCGUGCGGGAUGAAGGCCCUUGGGUUGUAAACCGCUGUCAGAGGGGAGGAAGGCGAAAGCUUGACCGAGCCUCAGAGGAAGCACGGGCUAAGUUCGUGCCAGCAGCCGCGGUAAUACGAACUGUGCGAACGUUAUUCGGAAUCACUGGGCUUACG